This 832-nucleotide ribosomal RNA is filed under the name uncultured bacterium. RNAcentral's name for it is "bacterial SSU rRNA". It matches the Rfam family "Bacterial small subunit ribosomal RNA", at positions 8 to 796 of the family's 1533-position model. The record is from RNAcentral.
AGAGUUUGAUCAUGGCUCAGAGUGAACGCUGGCGGCGUGGAUUAGGCAUGCAAGUCGAGCGAUCCUUAGGAAGCGAGAAGGCCGACCGUAAGGAAGGCCGACAAGUGAACUAAGGAUAGCGGCAGACGGGUGCGUAACGCGUGAGUAAUUUACCCUUAAACCGGGGAUAGCUUUGCGAAAGCAAGGGUAAUACCCGAUGUGUUCAUUUUCGCGCAAGCGGAGAUGAGUAAAGUCGGCCGUAAGGUUGAUGUUUAAGGAUUAGCUCGCGUCCUAUCAGCUAGUUGGUAGGGUAAUGGCCUACCAAGGCUUUUGACGGGUAGCUGGCCUGAGAGGGUGGUCAGCCACACGGGGACUGAGAUACUGCCCCGACUCCUACGGGAGGCUGCAGUCGAGGAUCUUUAGCAAUGGGCGAAAGCCUGACUAUGCGACGCCGCGUGAGGGAUGAAGGUUUUCGGAUCGUAAACCUCUUUCAAUGGGAAAGAAACUUCCGAUUAACUGUCGGAACUGACGGUACCCAGAGAAGAAGCCACGGCCAACUCCGUGCCAGCAGCCGCGGUAAUACGGAGGUGGCGAGCGUUACUCGGAUUCAUUGGGUGUAAAGGGCAGGUAGGUGUCCCUGCAAGUUUUGGGUGAAAUCCUGUGGCUCAACCACAGAACUGCCUAAAAAACUGCAGGGAUUGAGGCUGGAAGAGGAGAGUGGAAUUCCCGGUGUAAGGGUGAAAUCUGUAGAUAUCGGGAGGAACGCCAGUGGCGAAAGCGGCUCUCUGGUCUGGCCCUGACGCUGAACUGCGAAAGCUAGGGUAGCAAACAGGAUUAGAUACCCUAGUAGUCC